This is a long non-coding RNA of Glycine soja, 799 nucleotides long. RefSeq lists it as uncharacterized. The transcript has 2 exons. NCBI's taxonomy places the organism in Eukaryota, Viridiplantae, Streptophyta, Magnoliopsida, Fabales, Fabaceae. The record is from RefSeq and is a predicted model, not a curated record.
CUAUCUGCAAAAUACCUUCCAAUGCAAUUCUCUUACAAAUUGCAUUCCAAUUCUUCUUUGAACAAUCUAACAUCAUAAUCACAUAUAUUAGUGAGAAGAUGGAAAGGGGGCCAUCACCACUAAUGCCUUCUCUUUUCUUGCUUUGCUUGGGAUUCCUAAUCUAUUGGCCUAGUUUGUUUUCCAUUUUAGGCACAUUAUUAUCUUCAUUUCAAUGGGUAUCAGAAGUUGAUGAGAAAAGCUUUACAGCCUUAAUAUUGGUGCUUCUUGUUCUUUUAGUAUAUGCAUUUCUUCACUUGCCUUCUUCAUCCCCCUUUGGAAAGUCAUCUUAUGGCAUAAAUCGUCACGCUAGCAUCUCAAGGAAUGAUUAUGUUGGAUUUGAAUUUGAAUUUGGCUUGGGAACACUGCUCUUAUUUUUGGUCUUCGUUCUUUUGUAUAAUCUAUUUUGACAACAUAGACCGACCCCUCGUCAUAAAUCUCUCUUUGCACGGGUGCUAAAGGUAGUGCAAGUUUGAAUUUUAUAAUGAGAAGUAGGUAUUUGAUUUCCUGGACUUCCUUUGGCUCAAAUCAGAUGAAAGAAAUGUCUAUAUAUGCAAAUGAUUUUUAAGUUUUAGUAUUGGAAAGUGCUAAAGCGGUCUGCUGCUUGCUCUCUGGCACCUACAUUCCACCUUGUAGAAUAUGAUGUAUUUAUCAAACGGUUUUUAUUUUUAUUUUGAGUGCUGCACUGUAAAUUUACAUGUAGGAUACUAUCAUUCAUGUGUCUAAUAACUUCAAUAUAUUAUAAAGAGAAAUGAUAUCGAAA